Molecule: unclassified non-coding RNA, 377 nt
Filed under: uncultured Actinomycetes bacterium
Lineage: Bacteria; Bacillati; Actinomycetota; Actinomycetes
Description: uncultured actinobacterium contains 16S-23S intergenic spacer region
Source: RNAcentral
UCCGAGUUCACCCCGGCAGUCUCCCAUAAGUCCCCGACACAACUCGCUGGCAAUAUAGGACAAGGGUUGCGCUCGUUGCGGGACUUAACCCAACAUCUCACGACACGAGCUGACGACAACCAUGCACCACCUGUACACCCCCAACCAAAUGACCCCACAUCUCUGUGAGUCCAGGGUGUAUGUCAAAUCCUGGUAAGGUUCUUCGCGUUGCAUCGAAUUAAGCCGCAUGCUCCGCCGCUUGUGCGGGCCCCCGUCAAUUCCUUUGAGUUUUAGCCUUGCGGCCGUACUCCCCAGGCGGGGCGCUUAAAGCGUUAGCUACGGCACAGAAAACAUCACGUCCCCCACACCUAGCGCCCAACGUUUACAGCGUGGACUAC